This 465-nucleotide ribosomal RNA is filed under the name Haptophyta environmental samples. RNAcentral describes it as "SSU rRNA". It matches the Rfam family "Eukaryotic small subunit ribosomal RNA", at positions 432 to 900 of the family's 1831-position model. The record is from RNAcentral. Lineage: Eukaryota; Haptophyta.
GCGCGUAAAUUGCCCGAAUCCUGACACAGGGAGGUAGUGACAAGAAAUAACAAUACAGGGCUACUUCUAGUCUUGUAAUUGGAAUGAGUACAACUUACAUCUCUUCACGAGGAUCAAUUGGAGGGCAAGUCUGGUGCCAGCAGCCGUGGUAAUUCCAGCUCCAAUAGCGUAUAUUAAAGUUGUUGCAGUUAAAAAGCUCGUAGUCGGAUUUCGGGGCGGGCCGAGCGGUCUGCCGAUGGGUAUGCACUGUUCGGCGCGUCCUUCUUUCCGGAGACUGCGCCUACUCUUAGCUGAGCGGGCGUGGGAGACGGAUCGUUUACUUUGAAAAAAUCAGAGUGUUUCAAGCAGGCAGCUCGCUCUUGCAUGGAUUAGCAUGUGAUAAUGAAAUAGGACUCUGGUGCUAUUUUGUUGGUUUCGAACACCGGAGUAAUGAUUAACAGGGACAGUCAGGGGCACUCGUAUUCC